GAUAUAUAUGUAAGAAAACUAUUUAACCUCAUAGACUAACCUUGUAUACGGUACAUUCUAACAAUAUAUUUCUAAAGUUUUUAGUCAUUCCCGUUCAUUUGAAGCGUAAUUCCCCCCUUACUGUGGCUAGUUUGGAUGAGAUGACUUGACCCUAGCUAGCAUAACAUAUAGUAAGGUCGCCAUAUUCCGUCCACUUCACUGAUCACUUCACUUAAAUAGUGGAUACAUAAGUAACUAUCAUCACUUAUAAGUAGGCGGGCGGAAUUGGGAGACGGGCGGAAUUAGGCGACUUUGCUAUAAAUGGCAGCUAGCUCUACACUAUUUCGGGCAUUCGCUAACAAUCAGUGUGCAGAUAACUAGCGCAAACGUGCCGAGAUAUCUUGUUUAUUAUAAAAAUAAACGCUUGUGUUGUGCCAUGGCUUAUAUGGUGAUGACGUUUGAGAUUGUAAAUUUACGGGCCACAGAUGUGUCUAUGGUAAGGCCGACCUGACGAGAUAGCUGCCUACUGAGGUUUGAUUGGAUAUGGACAUUGUUUAUUUCAGAAGGAAAAUGUUUGGAGUGGAAUUGUUUGGAAGACAAUCUUGGGACAAUUUUGCUCUUUGGGUCUUUGUGCCAACCAUGCCAGCUAUCGUAGGGUGCUCUGGGAACUUCUUAGAUCUGUUUACUGUAUGUACACUUACUGAAAUAAGCAUUUUGUUUACAUAAAAUCCCUUGUCAUUUCACCACUAGGUUUGAAACCCAGACAGCACGAAGCAUCUUGCCGACGUCAAAAUCAGAUCAACAGACUGGGACAUCAGCCUUCUCUUGGGAAUAGGCCAGAUAUGCCAUAACAAGAAAUGGUGUUUUGCCCCUGCGGUUGUGAAGAGGAUGCUGUGGAGGUGGCAGCAUGAACGUGUCACACAGACAUUGGCUAAACUACUCGGCUUCUACACUUGCCCUCAGAGUUCACAUAUGGUGACGUGCACAUGUGUCCAGUCAGGUUCAGACUGAUGCUGGUAACAAGAGGAGAACAUGCUAAUUGAUGCUGUGUUGCUGCCAGUCCACGGAUGUACACGAAUGGCUCACCUGGAGGAGGAGGGCGGUCAACGACAUUACUCAUUGACAACAAAUGUGCUCUACGAUGACAUUUCCAGCAUGUCCAACUCAUCAGCAUCAGGGGAGAUUCGGUGGAGGUGGUGCACCAUCCAGGACCAGUCAUGGGCCACCAAAACCUCUGCAAAAUCUACACUUCUUGUGAACCCUGUAGAAGACACUACAACCACAAAACUGCUAAUAAACCAUCACAUACUGCGUCACA
Molecule: long non-coding RNA, 1297 nt
Organism: Engraulis encrasicolus (European anchovy)
Lineage: Eukaryota; Metazoa; Chordata; Actinopteri; Clupeiformes; Engraulidae
Exons: 5
Source: RefSeq, a predicted model, not a curated record